ACUUUUGCGAUCGAAAUAGGUUCUGUAAAACUCCUGUUCAUGGAGACAGAUUAAAAGGGAACCGGGUGGAAAUCCCGGACAGUCCACGCUGCUGUAAAACUUCAGUAACAUCCCGAUAACACCUUUUGCCACUGGCGGAGAGACAGCCUCGCCGGGAAGGCUUUCGGGAUGGAAGUAAGUCAGAAGACCUGCCAUUUUUCACAUAGCGAU
This 210-nucleotide non-coding RNA is filed under the name Parabacteroides goldsteinii. The record is from RNAcentral. Lineage: Bacteria; Pseudomonadati; Bacteroidota; Bacteroidia; Bacteroidales; Tannerellaceae.